This 429-nucleotide ribosomal RNA is filed under the name Fusobacteriota bacterium. Its description in RNAcentral is "Fusobacteria bacterium partial 16S ribosomal RNA". It matches the Rfam family "Bacterial small subunit ribosomal RNA", at positions 355 to 776 of the family's 1533-position model. The record is from RNAcentral. Lineage: Bacteria; Fusobacteriati; Fusobacteriota.
UGGGGAAUAUUGCGCAAUGGGCGAAAGCCUGACGCAGCGACGCCGCGUGAGGGAUGAAGGUUUUCGGAUCGUAAACCUCUGUCAGAAGGGAAGAAACUGCACUGUGCUAAUCAGCAGUGCCUUGACGGUACCUUCAAAGGAAGCACCGGCUAACUCCGUGCCAGCAGCCGCGGUAAUACGGAGGGUGCAAGCGUUAAUCGGAAUUACUGGGCGUAAAGCGCACGUAGGCUGCUUUGUAAGUCAGGGGUGAAAUCCCACGGCUCAACCGUGGAACUGGCGUUGAUACGGCUUAGCUGGAAUCCGGGGGAGGGUGGCGGAAUUCCAGGUGUAGGAGUGAAAGCCGUGGAUAUCUGGAGGAACAUGAGUGGCGAAGGCGGCCACCUGGACCGGUAUUGACGCUGAGGUGCGAAAGCGUGGGGAGCAAACAGG